AAAGGAAUUGACGGGGGCCCGCACAAGCGGCGGAGCAUGCGGCUUAAUUCGAUGCAACGCGAAGAACCUUACCUGGGCUUGACAUAUAGGGAAAUCUCAUAGAGAUAUGAGGUCCGCAAGGGUCCUAUACAGGUGGUGCAUGGCUGUCGUCAGCUCGUGUCGUGAGAUGUUGGGUUAAGUCCCGCAACGAGCGCAACCCUCGUUCUAUGUUGCCAGCACGUAAUGGUGGGGACUCAUAGGAGACUGCCGGGGUCAACUCGGAGGAAGGUGGGGAUGACGUCAAGUCAUCAUGCCCCUUAUGUCCAGGGCUGCACGCAUGCUACAAUGGCGAGUACAAAGGGCUGCGAUACCGCAAGGUGGAGCGAAUCCCAUAAAGCUCGUCUCAGUUCGGAUUGGGGUCUGCAACUCGACCCCAUGAAGUCGGAGUCGCUAGUAAUCGCAGAUCAGCAACGCUGCGGUGAAUACGUUCCCGGGCCUUGUACACACCGCCCGU
RNAcentral lists this ribosomal RNA (493 nucleotides) under uncultured bacterium. RNAcentral describes it as "bacterial SSU rRNA". It matches the Rfam family "Bacterial small subunit ribosomal RNA", at positions 903 to 1397 of the family's 1533-position model. The record is from RNAcentral.